Molecule: long non-coding RNA, 715 nt
Filed under: Brassica rapa (field mustard)
Lineage: Eukaryota; Viridiplantae; Streptophyta; Magnoliopsida; Brassicales; Brassicaceae
Description: long non-coding RNA (BRAP_LNC000919)
Source: RNAcentral
AAUUUUUAAUAAAAGGGACCUUUUGAGGCUCCAUAGAGCGUCCACAUCAGCAAAAAAAACUUCUCCUGAAAGAUGACACGUGGCAUAAAAUAUAGUUUUACAUUUUAAUAUUACUAAUUUUCGAAAAUUAUAAAUAAUAUGUAAACAUACAGCAUAAAAAAAAUGGAAAAAAUACAUUAAACAUAUGUAAGAUUAUCAUUUUUCGCUUGAAAAAAAGACGACUUAUCUCCAUAAUGUAACAUUACCGUUUUAUAAAAAACAAAAAACAUUAUACAUAAUUUGGAAAAUAAUAAAUAUAUGUAAACAUACAACAUAAAAAAUGGAAAUACUACAUUAAACAUAUGUACGAUUACCAUUUUACAUUUUUAUUUUAAAAAAAUAAUAUGUAAACAUACAACAUAAAAAAUGGAAAAACUACAUUAAACAUAUGUAAGAUUAUCAUUUUUCACUAAAAAAAAAGACGACUUAUCUCCAUAAUGUAACAUUACUAUUUUGUAAAAAAAAUAUUAUACAUAAUUUUGAAAAUAAUAAAUAAUAUGUAAACAUACAACAUAAAAAAUGAAAAUACUACAUUAAACAUAUGUAGGAUUACCAUUUUACACUAGAAAAAUAGAAAAAACGGCUUAUCUCCAUAAUGUAACAUUACCAUUUUUUAAAAAAAUAAAAAAAACAUAAAUAUAACUAUUUGACUAUUUGUCCAAGUUCUUCUAUUAAA